CCUACGGGUGGCAGCAGUCGAGAAUCAUUCACAAUGGGGGAAACCCUGAUGGUGCGACGCCGCGUGGGGGAAUGAAGGUCUUCGGAUUGUAAACCCCUGUCAUGUGGGAGCAAAUUAAAAAGAUAGUACCACAAGAGGAAGAGACGGCUAACUCUGUGCCAGCAGCCGCGGUAAUACAGAGGUCUCAAGCGUUGUUCGGAAUCACUGGGCGUAAGGCGUGCGUAGGCUGUUUCGUAAGUCGUGUGUGAAAGGCGCGGGCUCAACCCGCGGACGGCACAUGAUACUGCGAGACUAGAGUAAUGGAGGGGGAACCGGAAUUCUCGGGGUAGCAGUGAAAUGCGUAGAUAUCGAGAGGAACACUCGUGGCGAAGGCGGGUUCCUGGACAUUAACUGACGCUGAGGCACGAAGGCCAGGGGAGCGAAAGGGAUUAGAUACCCUAGUAGUC
RNAcentral lists this ribosomal RNA (446 nucleotides) under uncultured bacterium. RNAcentral describes it as "partial 16S ribosomal RNA". It matches the Rfam family "Bacterial small subunit ribosomal RNA", at positions 338 to 795 of the family's 1533-position model. The record is from RNAcentral.